RNAcentral lists this ribosomal RNA (466 nucleotides) under uncultured bacterium. RNAcentral describes it as "partial 16S ribosomal RNA". It matches the Rfam family "Bacterial small subunit ribosomal RNA", at positions 339 to 795 of the family's 1533-position model. The record is from RNAcentral.
CUACGGGAGGCUGCAGUGAGGAAUAUUGCGCAAUGGGGGAAACCCUGACGCAGCGACGCCGCGUGGAUGAUGAAGGCCUUCGGGUCGUAAAAUCCUGUCAGAAGGAAAGAAGUGCAUGGUAGCUAAUAUCUAUCAUGUUUGACGGUACCUUCAAAGGAAGCACCGGCUAACUCCGUGGCCAGCAGCCGCGGUAAUACGGAGGGUGCAAGCGGUGUUCGGAAUUACUGGGCGUAAAGCGCGCGUAGGCGGCUGUCUAAGUCAGAUGUGAAAGCCCAUGGCUCAACCAUGGACGUGCAUUUGAUACUGGAUGGCUUGAGUACUGGAGGGGGUGGUGGAAUUCCCGGUGUAGAGGUGACAUUCGUAGAUAUCGGGAGGAAUACCGGUGGCGAAGGCGACCACCUGGCCAGAUACUGACGCUGAGGUGCGAAAGCGUGGGGAGCAAACAGGAUUAGAUACCCCUGUAGUC